RNAcentral lists this ribosomal RNA (472 nucleotides) under uncultured bacterium. Its description in RNAcentral is "bacterial SSU rRNA". It matches the Rfam family "Bacterial small subunit ribosomal RNA", at positions 335 to 799 of the family's 1533-position model. The record is from RNAcentral.
ACUCCUACGGGAGGCAGCAGUGGGGAAUAUUGCACAAUGGGCGCAAGCCUGAUGCAGCCAUGCCGCGUGUGUGAAGAAGGCCUUCGGUUGUAAAGCACUUUCAGUUGUGAGGAAGGUGGUGUCGUUAAUAGCGGCAUCAUUUGACGUUAGCAACAGAAGAAGCACCGGCUAACUCCGUGCCAGCAGCCGCGGUAAUACGGAGGGUGCGAGCGUUAAUCGGAAUUACUGGGCGUAAAGCGCAUGCAGGUGGUUUGUUAAGUCAGAUGUGAAAGCCCGGGGCUCAACCUCGGAACUGCAUUUGAAACUGGCAGACUAGAGUACUGUAGAGGGGGUAGAAUUUCAGGUGUAGCGGUGAAAUGCGUAGAGAUCUGAAGGUAAUACCGGUGGCGAAGGCGGCCCCCUGGACAGAUACUGACACUCAGAUGCGAAAGCGUGGGGAGCAAACAGGAUUAGAUACCCUGGUAGCACAGAG